This 492-nucleotide ribosomal RNA is filed under the name uncultured bacterium. Its description in RNAcentral is "bacterial SSU rRNA". It matches the Rfam family "Bacterial small subunit ribosomal RNA", at positions 21 to 507 of the family's 1533-position model. The record is from RNAcentral.
GGCUCAGGAUGAACGCGUAGCGGCAGGCUUAAUACAUGCAAGGUCGUGGGGCAGCAUGAGUAGCAAUACUUGAUGGCGACCGGCAAACGGGUGAGGAACACGUACACAACCUUCCUCAGCGGGAAUAGCCCAGAGAAAUUUGGAUUAAUACCCCAUAAUAUAUUUGAUAAGGCAUCUUAUUAAUAUUAAAGCUUCGGCACUUGAUGAUGGGUGUGCGGCUGAUUAGAUAGUUGGCGGGGUAACGGCCCACCAAGUCUACGAUCAGUAGCUGAUGUGAGAGCAUGAUCAGCCACACGGGCACUGAGACACGGGCCCGACUCCUACGGGAGGCAGCAGUAAGGAAUAUUGGACAAUGGACGAAAGUCUGAUCCAGCCAUGCCCGCGUGAAGGAUUAAGGUCCUCUGGAUUGUAAACUUCUUUUAUAUGGGACGAAAAAAGGGCAUUCUUGUUCACUUGACGGUACCAUAUGAAUAAGCACCGGCUAACUCCGUG